CACCGCGGUUAUACGAGGGGCCCAAGUUGACAACCACCGGCGUAAAAGGUGGCUAGUAGUUGCACAGCACACUAAAGUCAAACAUCUUUCAAGCUGUUAUACGCAUUUGAAGCCCAGAAGCUCACCCACGAAAGUGACUUUACAUACUACUACCCCACUAAAGCCAGGAAA
Molecule: ribosomal RNA, 171 nt
Filed under: Grallenia arenicola
Lineage: Eukaryota; Metazoa; Chordata; Actinopteri; Gobiiformes; Gobiidae
Description: partial 12S ribosomal RNA
Source: RNAcentral